This is a small nuclear RNA of Sorex araneus (European shrew), 104 nucleotides long. NCBI's taxonomy places the organism in Eukaryota, Metazoa, Chordata, Mammalia, Eulipotyphla, Soricidae. The record is from Ensembl.
GUGUCUACUUCUGCAACACAUAUAUGAGAAUUGAAAGGUUAUAGACAAGAUUUGUAUGGCCCCUGCACACAGAGGACAUAAAAAUUGAUACAUUCCUUAUGUUU